UCCCAGGAGGCACAGUGGUAAAGAAUCUGCCUGCAAUGCAGGAGACCCAGGUUCAAUCCCUGAGUUGGGAA
Molecule: transfer RNA, 71 nt
Filed under: Bos taurus (domestic cattle)
Lineage: Eukaryota; Metazoa; Chordata; Mammalia; Artiodactyla; Bovidae
Also listed under: 5 other names
Rfam family: tRNA
About the family: Transfer RNA (tRNA) molecules are approximately 80 nucleotides in length.
Source: Rfam by way of RNAcentral